Molecule: non-coding RNA, 26 nt
Filed under: Rattus norvegicus (Norway rat)
Lineage: Eukaryota; Metazoa; Chordata; Mammalia; Rodentia; Muridae
Source: RNAcentral
UGUGCUCCUUAACGUCAUUCUGUGGA